This 467-nucleotide ribosomal RNA is filed under the name uncultured bacterium. RNAcentral describes it as "partial 16S ribosomal RNA". It matches the Rfam family "Bacterial small subunit ribosomal RNA", at positions 28 to 506 of the family's 1533-position model. The record is from RNAcentral.
GACGAACGCUGGCGGCGUGCUUAACACAUGCAAGUCGAACGGAAAGGCCCUGCUUUUGUGGGGUGCUCGAGUGGCGAACGGGUGAGUAACACGUGAGUAACCUGCCCUUGACUUUGGGAUAACUUCAGGAAACUGGGGCUAAUACCGGAUAGGAGCUCCUGCUGCAUGGUGGGGGUUGGAAAGUUUCGGCGGUUGGGGAUGGACUCGCGGCUUAUCAGCUUGUUGGUGGGGUAGCGGCUUACCAAGGCUUUGACGGGUAGCCGGCCUGAGAGGGUGACCGGCCACAUUGGGACUGAGAUACGGCCCAGACUCCUACGGGAGGCAGCAGUGGGGAAUAUUGCACAAUGGGCGGAAGCCUGAUGCAGCAACGCCGCGUGCGGGAUGACGGCCUUCGGGUUGUAAACCGCUUUCGCCUGUGACGAAGCGUGAGUGACGGUAAUGGGUAAAGAAGCACCGGCUAACUACGG